AUUAUUUUAUUCAUAAUUGUAUAAAUUAUGGCAGGUGUAGUUUAUUGAUAAAAUAUUAGUUUUGUAAACUAAUGAUAGCGCGUAUCAUAGUGCUUAUCUGUU
Molecule: transfer RNA, 102 nt
Filed under: Schistosoma haematobium
Lineage: Eukaryota; Metazoa; Platyhelminthes; Trematoda; Strigeidida; Schistosomatidae
Description: tRNA-Thr
Rfam family: tRNA (bases 31-102)
About the family: Transfer RNA (tRNA) molecules are approximately 80 nucleotides in length. Their secondary structure includes four short double-helical elements and three loops (D, anti-codon, and T loops).
Source: RNAcentral